Sapajus apella (tufted capuchin) is the source of this 447-nucleotide long non-coding RNA. RefSeq lists it as uncharacterized. NCBI's taxonomy places the organism in Eukaryota, Metazoa, Chordata, Mammalia, Primates, Cebidae. The record is from RefSeq and is a predicted model, not a curated record. The transcript has 4 exons.
AGAUGACAUGCGUGGAGUGGCUGGAACACAUGCACUACAAUAAGAGCAUCGGUGAGAACAAGGCGCUCACAGGAGGAAGACCUGCAGGGUGCACCACAAAAGCCCCAGUCCCCACUGCCCAGGACCCAUGGGGGGUGGUAACUGGGGAGCAACCUUUUGGUCAGGCCCUGUAGCCGCAGCACUGACAGUGACAUUGGUGGGAUGAGCACUGUUGUCCUGGGGAGUCCAGGCUGUCGGCCUCUGCUGCUCCCACACUUCAGUUCCGAAGGCUAGAUGUCCAAAAUGACGGUGCCGGCAGGACCAAGCUCCCUCCGCUGCCUCCACAGCCCCAGGCAUUCCCUGGCUUGCAGCAACAGAAGAUCAAUCUCUGCUCUGUCUUCACACAGCUGUUGUGCACGUGUCUUUUUUUUUUUUUUCGAGAUGGCGUUCUUAUUGCCCAGGCUGGAG